UAUGUUUUAGUAUAGUAGUAUAUAGAAAUUUUUGGUAUUUCUGAAAAUAGGCAUUAUUUCCUAUUAAACAUAU
RNAcentral lists this transfer RNA (73 nucleotides) under Curculionoidea sp. 1 KM-2015. Its description in RNAcentral is "tRNA-Gln". The record is from RNAcentral. Lineage: Eukaryota; Metazoa; Arthropoda; Insecta; Coleoptera.